This 699-nucleotide ribosomal RNA is filed under the name Microbacterium sp. RNAcentral describes it as "bacterial SSU rRNA". It matches the Rfam family "Bacterial small subunit ribosomal RNA", at positions 142 to 853 of the family's 1533-position model. The record is from RNAcentral. Lineage: Bacteria; Bacillati; Actinomycetota; Actinomycetes; Micrococcales; Microbacteriaceae.
GAUAAGCGCUGGAAACGGCGUCUAAUACCGGAUACGAGCUGUGAAGGCAUCUUCAACAGCUGGAAAGAACUUCGGUCAAGGAUGAGCUCGCGGCCUAUCAGCUAGUUGGUGAGGUAAUGGCUCACCAAGGCGUCGACGGGUAGCCGGCCUGAGAGGGUGACCGGCCACACUGGGACUGAGACACGGCCCAGACUCCUACGGGAGGCAGCAGUGGGGAAUAUUGCACAAUGGGCGCAAGCCUGAUGCAGCAACGCCGCGUGAGGGACGACGGCCUUCGGGUUGUAAACCUCUUUUAGCAGGGAAGAAGCGAAAGUGACGGUACCUGCAGAAAAAGCACCGGCUAACUACGUGCCAGCAGCCGCGGUAAUACGUAGGGUGCAAGCGUUAUCCGGAAUUAUUGGGCGUAAAGAGCUCGUAGGCGGUUUGUCGCGUCUGCUGUGAAAACUGGGGGCUCAACCCCCAGCCUGCAGUGGGUACGGGCAGACUAGAGUGCGGUAGGGGAGAUUGGAAUUCCUGGUGUAGCGGUGGAAUGCGCAGAUAUCAGGAGGAACACCGAUGGCGAAGGCAGAUCUCUGGGCCGUAACUGACGCUGAGGAGCGAAAGGGUGGGGAGCAAACAGGCUUAGAUACCCUGGUAGUCCACCCCGUAAACGUUGGGAACUAGUUGUGGGGACCAUUCCACGGUCUCCGUGACGCAGCU